AAUUGAGGCAUUUUCUCCACAAAUGGACAUCAGUUGGAGAUUGAGGUUCAAACUAGCAUUUCAAUAAGAGAAAAUCACCUCCAGCGAGACAAUCAAAAACAAUCCCAAAAUUUACAGUCAAAUUUCUAAAUUGGGUGGAAUUUUUGCAAAGAUAUCAAUAUGCUCACUGGCACCUAUAAUUCUGACAAGUGCGGGACCAUUGUCGUCUCCGGAAAUCAUCAGCAGCAUCUCAAAAUCUCGACCUGGUGGGUGCGGCGGUCAACGAGUAGCUUGCCACCACAAUGCUCAUCCUGCGGAUCAACUGGGAGCUGUUCUUGUGGCAAAUGAGAUGUGAUACGAAGAGUAUGACAAACAGUUGUACCAUAUUUUGUGUUCAUUUUAGUCCAUGGCUCAAAAAUUAUAUUUUUUGCCAAUCAAACAAAAUUAAUCGGUUUGUUUAAAAUGCCCAACAUUUCAACAUAUUUGUGUUCAUUAGAAGUUUCAAACCAUGUAUAGUAAUGUGGUAUAAUUGUCAUACAUUCAAAGGUACAGAUUGAUUCAACCUGAUACCUAACGUGAUAAAUAAUGUGAUAUGUAUUUAAAUACAACUUUAACUUUAUAAAGUUAUAAAAUAUAUAUACAAGAAAUAUAUCGAUGUUUUGGA
Molecule: long non-coding RNA, 643 nt
Organism: Folsomia candida
Lineage: Eukaryota; Metazoa; Arthropoda; Collembola; Entomobryomorpha; Isotomidae
Exons: 2
Source: RefSeq, a predicted model, not a curated record